RNAcentral lists this ribosomal RNA (253 nucleotides) under uncultured bacterium. Its description in RNAcentral is "partial 16S ribosomal RNA". It matches the Rfam family "Bacterial small subunit ribosomal RNA", at positions 524 to 776 of the family's 1533-position model. The record is from RNAcentral.
UACGUAGGGGGCAAGCGUUAUCCGGAUUUACUGGGUGUAAAGGGAGCGUAGACGGCGAUGCAAGCCAGAUGUGAAAGCCCGGGGCUCAACUCCGGGACUGCAUUUGGAACUGUAUAGCUAGAGUGUCGGAGAGGCAGGCGGAAUUCCUAGUGUAGCGGUGAAGUGCGUAGAUAUUAGGAGGAACACCAGUGGCGAAGGCGGCCUGCUGGACGAUGACUGACGUUGAGGCUCGAAAGCGUGGGGAGCAAACAGG